CAACAAAAUCAUAUCAGGUUUACCAGACUUCCCAAGAUACAUGGUCCCAUAUGCCUUCAGGAGAUCUCUAUAGAAAUGAUUUUGAUGACUUGCCACCUUGAAAAGAGCUCUUCUGGGACUAAACUGACAUCCUUAAGUGACAAGAAUGAGAUGUAGUGUUCAGUCACAUUAAAAAACACAUCAUCCCAUAUAAAGGAAGCUUUGGAUAUAGGGACAUCAAACUGGUCUUAAGUGUAAUGAAAAGCUUCUUGUGCCACAAAUAUCAGUGUAGUGAUAUCUGCCAGUAAGAAAGUAUAAAUCAGCAUAACCAUCGAAUGCAGCAAGAAGAAUAUUGAGCCAGGAAAGAAACCAUUUAAAAGAAAAAUGAAUUACUCAUUCACUUUCUAGUGGAUACAGAAAAAACUGCAGAAGAGUCAGAGGAUAUCAUGGCAGUGUAAUACGUUGAUAUGUUAAACUUGUGGAAAAGCCUUCAAUUCUGUUUUAACAUAUGAGAAGGAGGGGUGACUGACUUCAUGACUAGCAUUAAGAAAAUAUCACAUGUUGAUAAACUCUUUCUGCCUUGAUGAUUUUAUACACACAGGAGAUAAAAAAUGAGGCACAUGCUUAGAUAUAUUGGCAAUGAGAUGGGACUGUGGCAUUGUCACAGGGGUACACAAAUACUGAGAGUGGCUGAUAGAGGAAUGGUCCCCAUCGGUUGUGACCUCAGGUAAGACCAGGAGGCCUGGGUUUGGCAAACCCUGGGCAAUUGGAAUGAAGGGCUCCUAAGAUUCCAUGACACGCCCAGAUUCUAAUUCUGUUAUUGCAACAGCAGGCCGUUACCUGGGACUCUGGCCACUAUCUCCCACACUCUUGUCAGAGUCUGAGCUACAGGCUGCACCUUCAGCUCCCAGCUGAAGCAUUGCGAACCUUGUUUUUGCGGUUAAGGACCCUAAAGUGCUGUGAGGAUCAAAUUUUUCUCAACAUCCCUGGCUGUACCUGUGGUGUCUCAAAUGUCAGCAUGGCGACAUCUGGCAGGACUUGUUCCACAAAAACCACAGAGGUGAACUUUCCACAUACCAUCGACAAUUCCUACUGCCAGCAGGAAGAGACCAAACCGAAUUUCGGAGCCAGCAAAAAUAGACUUCUUCUGAGCCAGGUGGCCUACUUCCAGAACUAUCAGCUGAAGACAUACAGUAAGUUC
This is a long non-coding RNA of Cebus imitator (Panamanian white-faced capuchin), 1180 nucleotides long. RefSeq lists it as uncharacterized. Lineage: Eukaryota; Metazoa; Chordata; Mammalia; Primates; Cebidae. The transcript is spliced from 2 exons. The record is from RefSeq and is a predicted model, not a curated record.